Molecule: ribosomal RNA, 528 nt
Filed under: uncultured bacterium
Lineage: Bacteria
Description: partial 16S ribosomal RNA
Rfam family: Bacterial small subunit ribosomal RNA
Source: RNAcentral
UGGGGAAUUUUGGACAAUGGGCGAAAGCCUGAUCCAGCAAUGCCGCGUGUGUGAAGAAGGCCUUCGGGUUGUAAAGCACUUUUGUCCGGAAAGAAAUCCUUGGCUCUAAUACAGUCGGGGGAUGACGGUACCGGAAGAAUAAGCACCGGCUAACUACGUGCCAGCAGCCGCGGUAAUACGUAGGGUGCAAGCGUUAAUCGGAAUUACUGGGCGUAAAGCGUGCGCAGGCGGUUUGCUAAGACCGAUGUGAAAUCCCCGGGCUCAACCUGGGAACUGCAUUGGUGACUGGCAGGCUAGAGUAUGGCAGAGGGGGGUAGAAUUCCACGUGUAGCAGUGAAAUGCGUAGAGAUGUGGAGGAAUACCGAUGGCGAAGGCAGCCCCCUGGGCCAAUACUGACGCUCAUGCACGAAAGCGUGGGGAGCAAACAGGAUUAGAUACCCUGGUAGUCCACGCCCUAAAACGAUGUCAACUAGUUGUUGGGGACUUCAUUUCCUUAGUAACGUAGCUAACGCGUGAAGUUGACCGCCU